Zingiber officinale is the source of this 862-nucleotide long non-coding RNA. RefSeq lists it as uncharacterized. Lineage: Eukaryota; Viridiplantae; Streptophyta; Magnoliopsida; Zingiberales; Zingiberaceae. The transcript is spliced from 3 exons. The record is from RefSeq and is a predicted model, not a curated record.
CGAGCCCUCAUCCACUCCACUCUUCUUCUCUCGCGCCCGACGCCGGCCCUAACCGCCGGCCGGCGGUUUCUUCCUCCCGAGCCGCACACCCGAAGACCUUUUCUUCAUCUUCUUCUCCACCCGAGCCGAAGCUUUCCCCUGCCCUAAAAUCGCCGAAAGCUUGCUCUAUGCCCACUGGUGCCGACGCCGAGCACUGCCGCUCUUCCUCAGCCCUAGCCGCCGCACGGGACAUUGCCGGCCACCAGGACCGACCCAGGCCGCUGUCGCCGUGGGGAUCCCAGCGCCGCCGACGCCCUUCUCCCGUUUCUCUCUGCCCUAGUUUUGCACAGUGUCACCGCUACCCCAACCGGCAACCGGCUGUCCUCCCUCUGCCGACGCCGACUCCUCCACUGUGCAGUGCCUAGCCGACUCCUCCACUGUGCAGUGCCUAGACGACUCCUUCCUUUGUCCUAGGUUCCCUCUUGUUGCUGGAUCCGAACCCUAACUCCUCUGGGUUGGGUUGUGGUCAGCCUACCCGACUGCAGCUUCUCCGGAUCUUGGCAGUAAGUUCUAUAGGAUUUGAGCAGUGUUGAGGCAUCAGGGAAUAUGGGUAAGGUUGGUGUUAAGUUAAUUACUGUUGAGGUGAGUAUGGGAAGAUGAACUUGAUGAUUUCGAUGGUUUGAGCUAUUGGUAUUACUUUUGUUAUGUAAGCAUAGGGUUAAUUAUAUUAAAUCCUGUGUAGACCUUAUAUGGUGAUUUCCUUUGCAGACAUUGUUGGAGAAAGCCCUAAUCGCUGUGAUCUUCCUUUUGUGUGAUCCAGAGGACCUUGACGCGAGACAAGUUUCUUAACGUCCGGAUUUGGACUGAUUGGAUCUUUCCUAUU